GACGAACGCUGGCGGCGUGCCUAAUACAUGCAAGUCGAGCGGUGAGGAUUUGUGCUUGCACCGUUUUGGAGUGCAGCGAACGGGUGAGUAACGCGUGGGAAAUCUCCCUUUGAGCGGGAGACAAUCUGUGGAAACGGGUGCUAAUACCGCAUAACAACUUUAAACAUAGGUUUGAAGGUUGAAAGAUGCAGUUGCAUCACUCAAUGAUGAUCCCGCGUUGUAUUAGGAUGUUGGUGAGGUAAAGGCGCACCAAGGCGGUGAUACAGAGCCGACCUGAUAGGGUGAUCGGCCGCCUUGGGACUGUGACCCGGCCCAAACUCCUUCGGGAAGGGGCAGGAGGGAUACGUCGGCAAUGGGUGAAAGUCUGUGCGAGAAAGGCCGAGGGCGUGAAGAAGGUUGUCGGGUGGUAAAACACGGUUGGCAGGGUAGAACGUUGGUGAGAGUGGAAAGCUCAGCAAGUGACGGUAACUACUCAGAAAGCGACGGCUAACUACGUG
RNAcentral lists this ribosomal RNA (497 nucleotides) under uncultured bacterium. RNAcentral describes it as "partial 16S ribosomal RNA". It matches the Rfam family "Bacterial small subunit ribosomal RNA", at positions 28 to 507 of the family's 1533-position model. The record is from RNAcentral.